RNAcentral lists this ribosomal RNA (333 nucleotides) under uncultured bacterium. RNAcentral's name for it is "bacterial SSU rRNA". It matches the Rfam family "Bacterial small subunit ribosomal RNA", at positions 29 to 354 of the family's 1533-position model. The record is from RNAcentral.
AAUGAACGCUGGCGGCGCGCCUAAUACAUGCAAGUCGAGCGAGAAGACGUAGCAAUACGUUUGUAAAGCGGCGAACGGGUGAGGAAUACAUGGGUAACCUACCCUCGAGUGGGGAAUAACUAGCCGAAAGGUUAGCUAAUACCGCGUACGCUUCUUGGACUUCGGUUCAGGGAGGAAAGCGAUGCCGAGGGUAUCGCGCUCUUGGAUGGGCUCAUGUCCUAUCAGCUUGNGGUGAGGUAACGGCUCACCAAGGCUUCGACGGGUAGCUGGUCUGAGAGGACGAUCAGCCACACUGGCACUGCGACACGGGCCAGACUCCUACGGGAGCAGCAA